UCACUGGGAUAUCAAAACUUCACAUGCAA
Molecule: non-coding RNA, 29 nt
Filed under: Mus musculus (house mouse)
Lineage: Eukaryota; Metazoa; Chordata; Mammalia; Rodentia; Muridae
Source: RNAcentral